UGGGUUCAAGAUCCUCUAUCCCCA
This 24-nucleotide transfer RNA is filed under the name Thunbergia colpifera. RNAcentral describes it as "partial tRNA-Leu". The record is from RNAcentral. Lineage: Eukaryota; Viridiplantae; Streptophyta; Magnoliopsida; Lamiales; Acanthaceae.